Molecule: ribosomal RNA, 477 nt
Filed under: uncultured bacterium
Lineage: Bacteria
Description: bacterial SSU rRNA
Rfam family: Bacterial small subunit ribosomal RNA
Source: RNAcentral
UUCGCAAUGCCCGAAAGGGUGACGAAGCGACGCCGCGUGCGGGAAGAAGGCCUUCGGGUUGUAAACCGCUGUCGGGAGUUAAGAAAUGCAAGGGUGUUAACAGCAUCCUUGCUUGACUAAGGCUCCGGAGGAAGCCACGGCUAACUCUGUGCCAGCAGCCGCGGUGAUACAGAGGCGGCAAGCGUUGUUCGGAAUUAUUGGGCGUAAAGAGCACGUAGGCGGCUGUGUAAGUCGGUUGUGAAAGCCUUCCGCUUAACGGGAGAACGGCAUCCGAUACUGCAUGGCUUGAGUGCGGGAGGGGAGAGUGGAACUUCUGGUGGAGCGGUGAAAUGCGUAGAUAUCAGAAGGAACACCGGCGGCGAAGGCGACUCUCUGGCCCGUAACUGACGCUGAGUGUGCGAAAGCUAGGGGAGCAAACGGGAUUAGAUACCCCGGUAGUCCUAGCCGUAAACGAUGGGCACUAAGUAGAGGGGUUUU